RNAcentral lists this ribosomal RNA (465 nucleotides) under uncultured bacterium. RNAcentral's name for it is "partial 16S ribosomal RNA". It matches the Rfam family "Bacterial small subunit ribosomal RNA", at positions 28 to 507 of the family's 1533-position model. The record is from RNAcentral.
GACGAACGCUGGCGGCGUGCUUAACACAUGCAAGUCGAACGGAAAGGCCCCUUUGGGGGUACUCGAGUGGCGAACGGGUGAGUAACACGUGAGUAACCUGCCCUUGACUUCGGGAUAACUUCAGGAAACUGGGGCUAAUACCGGAUAGGAAUCCUUGCUGCAUGGUGGGGGUUGGAAAGCUUCGGCGGUUUUGGAUGGACUCGCGGCUUAUCAGCUUGUUGGUGGGGAAGUGGCUUACCAAGGCUUUGACGGGUAGCCGGCCUGAGAGGGCGACCGGCCACAUUGGGACUGAGAUACGGCCCAGACUCCUACGGGAGGCAGCAGUGGGGAAUAUUGCACAAUGGGCGGAAGCCUGAUGCAGCAACGCCGCGUGCGGGAUGACGGCCUUCGGGUUGUAAACCGCUUUCAGCAGGGGCGAAGCUUGUGGUGACGGUACCUGCAGAAGAAGCACCGGCUAACUACGUG